This 222-nucleotide ribosomal RNA is filed under the name uncultured Nitrobacter sp. RNAcentral describes it as "partial 16S ribosomal RNA". It matches the Rfam family "Bacterial small subunit ribosomal RNA", at positions 1259 to 1485 of the family's 1533-position model. Lineage: Bacteria; Pseudomonadati; Pseudomonadota; Alphaproteobacteria; Hyphomicrobiales; Nitrobacteraceae. The record is from RNAcentral.
UACCCCUAGCAAAUCUCAAAAAACCGAUCUCAGUCCGGAUUGGAGUCUGCAACUCGACUCCAUGAAGUUGGAAUCGCUAGUAAUCGCGGAUCAGCACGCCGCGGUGAAUACGUUCCCGGGCCUUGUACACACCGCCCGUCACACCAUGGGAGUUGUUCUUACCUGAAGUCGUGGCCUCAACCGCAAGGGGGGGAGCGCCUACGGUCAGCGACUGGGGUGAAG